GUCCUCCCGUUGCCUUUGAGGAGCGUGUGCUGCAGCAGAAGGCAUGUGGAGCCCCUGCCAGCCAGGCGCUAGGGUUGGGCUUGCAGAUCUCGACAGCUCCAUUGCCGUGAGGAAUGAAGCUGUCAGGGGAAGACAUGAUUCUCUGGGCUUGGCCCACAGAACUGAGGACAGCCUUCUGCAAAGAAGUAGACGUGGCAGUCCAGAGACUGCAGAACUGUUAAACCCAUGUGGCUGCCACACAGGAUCUCAGUGGUGCUGGUGCCCAGGUGUGGCAGGCACUGCAUAAACACGGGGGGAGAGCCAGUCCCGGCCUGAGGCCUCACAGCCAAGGCAGAUACUGGCUCAGAGGACAGAAGAUCUGCCACCUCCUUCACGUUAAGACUUCUUGGCUCAUCUGAUGCUGCAGUAAGUGUCUAGCCAAGGCAGUGACUGAGCCUAAAACUCUUGGACAUCAUGCACCAUGCGGCCAUGUGUCCGAAGAGCCAGAUCCCAAUCACUCCACGGGCAACCUCUGUCCCAGCCCAGUGGGCAGAGAGGAUUGCUCCUUUCCCUCCCACACCCUGCCACACAGCUUGCUUACUGGCCCCUUUGUACUUGCUCCCCUUGGUUAGGGGACUGCCCUGAUCCAGCCAGCGGGACAAGCUCUGCAUGUACUGCUUUAAUUGGAGAUGGUGAGGAGCACAGCGGGAAUUGUUCCUGAGUACUGGAAACAAUACUUAUAAAAUCACUUCACAGCAGCCAGUAACGCUACUGGCUGGAAUACAAACAGCUUUGGAGACCAGUGGCUAGUCAAGAAACACUCUGAAAAGAAGUGCUUAUGCUUCUUCGUUUCCCCAUCCACCUGUACUUCUGAUCCUGCAGAAGGAAAUCUUUGGGGUAGGAAAUAAGCAAGGGGAGCAUUUAAGAGAAAAGGAAGAUAUCAGUGCUCUCCACAUGGAAAUAUGUGAGAGCCUUCCGCACCCAAAGCAGAGCAUAUGAAUUUACAUGACAACGUUGCAGUGGCUGAGAUCUCUGGGGGCUCAAUUUUCCAUAAUCAGAUCUAAAGACCUCUGCCUACUUUAAGUAGCAUCAUGGAUGAAGGUGAUUUAGCACCGCAUAUAACCACUUGGUUUCUGGUUUGCACGUGCAAUAUAAAUAUGCAAGCUAAGUACACAAACUCAGGUGGCCUCCAGGGCUGAAAAUUCUCAGGCUAUCCAUGCCCUCUCUUACAUUAGCAGCCUGGAAAUGAUGCUGCAUGUUCCCUGCUUUUCUGCAUUUUCCAGGCAAACUUGGACAAAAACAAAACAAAACAAAACAAAAACGUUUGGUGCCCUUGCAGCCCCAAGUGCUGAACUUGUCUUUUUGAAAUGCUAUGUCAACAGCUCUUCACUAGCAGGCCCAUUAUUUUUAUUGGCUUCAGCUCUCUGGCUAGUGUUGACAGGUUAAUUUACAGUAACAGUGAGAGUCACCUUUACUCACUAUACCAGAAAGCGCAGCCCGCUCUGCACUUGAAUGCCACGCUCUCAGGAGCAGGAAUGUGGAGAACGAGUAAGUGCUGCCUCACAGCCUCACUCAGGCACUCGGGGACUUGUACAAAAGAAUGCUCUUUUGGUGAAAUAAUUUUUGCCAGCAUAUACAACUGGAGCAGGAAUGGUUGCAAUUAUUUCUUACCGUGCUUGUUAGGGAGGACACAUGGGAAGAUUAGCCUCAAGAAUGUCACUCUUGGACAUGGUCUUCCCAUUGGG
Molecule: long non-coding RNA, 1724 nt
Organism: Cygnus olor (mute swan)
Lineage: Eukaryota; Metazoa; Chordata; Aves; Anseriformes; Anatidae
Exons: 3
Source: RefSeq, a predicted model, not a curated record